Molecule: ribosomal RNA, 199 nt
Filed under: uncultured bacterium
Lineage: Bacteria
Description: partial 16S ribosomal RNA
Rfam family: Bacterial small subunit ribosomal RNA
Source: RNAcentral
ACGCUCGACACCUACGGGAAGCAGCAGUCGGGAAUAUUGCGCAAUGGAGGAAACUCUGACNCAGUGACGCCGCGUAUAGGAAGAAGGUUUUCGGAUUGUAAACUAUUGUCGUUAGGGAAGAGAAAGGACAGUACCUAAGGAGGAAGCUCCGGCUAACUACGUGCCAGCAGCCGCGGUAAUCUGAGCGGGCUGGCAAGGC